RNAcentral lists this ribosomal RNA (253 nucleotides) under uncultured bacterium. Its description in RNAcentral is "partial 16S ribosomal RNA". It matches the Rfam family "Bacterial small subunit ribosomal RNA", at positions 524 to 776 of the family's 1533-position model. The record is from RNAcentral.
UACGUAGGUGGCAAGCGUUGUCCGGAAUUAUUGGGCGUAAAGCGCGCGUAGGUGGUUUCUUAAGUCUGAUGUGAAAGCCCACGGCUCAACCGUGGAGGGUCAUUGGAAACUGGGGAACUUGAGUGCAGAAGAGGAGAGUGGAAUUCCAAGUGUAGCGGUGAAAUGCGUAGAGAUUUGGAGGAACACCAGUGGCGAAGGCGACUUUCUGGUCUGUAACUGACACUGAGGCGCGAAAGCGUGGGGAGCGAACAGG